Molecule: microRNA, 29 nt
Filed under: Tribolium castaneum (red flour beetle)
Lineage: Eukaryota; Metazoa; Arthropoda; Insecta; Coleoptera; Tenebrionidae
Description: tca-miR-11632-3p
Source: miRBase by way of RNAcentral
UGUUGUCAUGGGUAAAAAGUUUUUUAACC